This 67-nucleotide transfer RNA is filed under the name Marmota monax (woodchuck). Its description in RNAcentral is "tRNA.Ala". Lineage: Eukaryota; Metazoa; Chordata; Mammalia; Rodentia; Sciuridae. The record is from RNAcentral.
GGUAGUGGCUCAGUGGUAGAGUGCUUGUCUCGCCCAGGUGAGGCCCUGGGUUCGAUCUUCAGCACCA